Molecule: ribosomal RNA, 400 nt
Filed under: uncultured bacterium
Lineage: Bacteria
Description: bacterial SSU rRNA
Rfam family: Bacterial small subunit ribosomal RNA
Source: RNAcentral
AACAAACGCUGGCGGCGUGUCUUAAGCAUGCAAGUUGAGCGGCAAGGGGGGAGCGAUCCCCCCUAGAGCGGCGGACUGGUGAGUAACACGUGGAUGAUCUACCCGAGGCAUGGGGAUAGUCACUAGAAAUAGUGGGUAAUACCGAAUACGGUGCGCAUCGUGAGGGUGCGCAAGAAAGGUGCUACGGCACCGGCCUAGGAUGAGUCUGCGUCCCAUUAGCUGGUUGGUGAGGUAAGAGCCCACCAAGGCGAUGAUGGGUAGCCGGCCUGAGAGGGUGUACGGCCACACUGGGACUGAGACACGGCCCAAAACUCCUACGGGAGGCAGCAGUGGGGAAUCUUCCGCAAUGGACGAAAGUCUGACGGAGCAACGCCGCGUGAGUGAAGAAGGUUUCGAAUCG